ACUCCUACGGGAGGCAGCAGUGGGGAAUAUUGCACAAUGGGGGAAACCCUGAUGCAGCCAUGCCGCGUGUGUGAAGAAGGCCUUCGGGUUGUAAAGCACUUUCAGUAGGGAGGAAGGUAGUGUAGUUAACACCUGCAUUAUUUGACGUUACCUACAGAAGAAGCACCGGCUAACUCCGUGCCAGCAGCCGCGGUAAUACGGAGGGUGCGAGCGUUAAAUCGGAAUUACUGGGCGUAAAGCGCAUGCAGGCGGCCUGUUAAGUCAGAUGUGAAAGCCCGGGGGCUUAACCUCGGAAUUGCAUUUGAAACUGGCAGGCUAGAGUCUUGUAGAGGGGGGUAGAAUUUCAGGUGUAGCGGUGAAAUGCGUAGAGAUCUGAAGGAAUACCAGUGGCGAAGGCGGCCCCCUGGACAAAGACUGACGCUCAGAUGCGAAAGCGUGGGGAGCAAACAGGAUUAGAUACCCUGGUAGGAUAGCG
Molecule: ribosomal RNA, 475 nt
Filed under: uncultured bacterium
Lineage: Bacteria
Description: bacterial SSU rRNA
Rfam family: Bacterial small subunit ribosomal RNA
Source: RNAcentral